ACGGGAGGCAGCAGUGGGGAAUGUUGCACAAUGGGGGAAACCCUGAUGCAGCGACGCCGCGUGAGUGAAGAAGUAUUUCGGUAUGUAAAGCUCUAUCAGCAGGAAAGAAAAUGACGGUACCUGACUAAGAAGCCCCGGCUAACUACGUGCCAGCAGCCGCGGUAAUACGUAGGGGGCAAGCGUUAUCCGGAUUUACUGGGUGUAAAGGGAGCGUAGACGGUAAAGCAAGUCUGAAGUGAAAGGCUGGGGCUCAACCCCAGGACUGCUUUGGAAACUGUUAAACUAGAGUGCAGGAGAGGUAAGUGGAAUUCCUAGUGUAGCGGUGAAAUGCAUAGAUAUUAGGAGGAACACCAGUGGCGAAGGCGGCUUACUGGACUGUAACUGACGUUGAGGCUCGAAAGCGUGGGGAGCAAACAGGAUUAGAUACCCUGGUA
This 434-nucleotide ribosomal RNA is filed under the name uncultured Lachnospiraceae bacterium. Its description in RNAcentral is "partial 16S ribosomal RNA". It matches the Rfam family "Bacterial small subunit ribosomal RNA", at positions 341 to 792 of the family's 1533-position model. Lineage: Bacteria; Bacillati; Bacillota; Clostridia; Lachnospirales; Lachnospiraceae. The record is from RNAcentral.